GUGGGGAAUAUUGGACAAUGGGCGCAAGCCUGAUCCAGCCAUGCCGCGUGAGUGAUGAAGGCCCUAGGGUUGUAAAGCUCUUUCACCGGUGAAGAUAAUGACGGUAACCGGAGAAGAAGCCCCGGCUAACUUCGUGCCAGCAGCCGCGGUAAUACGAAGGGGGCUAGCGUUGUUCGGAAUUACUGGGCGUAAAGCGCGCGUAGGCGGACUGAAAAGUUGGGGGUGAAAUCCCGGGGCUCAACCUCGGAACUGCCUUCAAAACUAUCAGUCUGGAGUUCGAAAGAGGUGAGUGGAAUUCCGAGUGUAGAGGUGAAAUUCGUAGAUAUUCGGAGGAACACCAGUGGCGAAGGCGGCUCACUGGCUCGAUACUGACGCUGAGGUGCGAAAGCGUGGGGAGCAAACAGGAUUAGAAACCCGUGUAGUCC
Molecule: ribosomal RNA, 425 nt
Filed under: uncultured bacterium
Lineage: Bacteria
Description: bacterial SSU rRNA
Rfam family: Bacterial small subunit ribosomal RNA
Source: RNAcentral